RNAcentral lists this ribosomal RNA (496 nucleotides) under uncultured bacterium. RNAcentral describes it as "partial 16S ribosomal RNA". It matches the Rfam family "Bacterial small subunit ribosomal RNA", at positions 29 to 507 of the family's 1533-position model. The record is from RNAcentral.
AUGAACGCUGGCGGCGUGCCUCAUCCCUGCAGGUCGAGCGAACAGACGAGGAGCUUGCUCCUCUGACGUUAGCGGCGGACGGGUGAGUAACACGUGGAUAACCUACCUAUAAGACUGGGAUAACUUCGGGAAACCGGAGCUAAUACCGGAUAAUAUAUUGAACCGCAUGGUUCAAUAGUGAAAGACGGUUUUGCUGUCACUUAUAGAUGGAUCCGCGCCGCAUUAGCUAGUUGGUAAGGUAACGGCUUACCAAGGCAACGAUGCGUAGCCGACCUGAGAGGGUGAUCGGCCACACUGGAACUGAGACACGGUCCAGACUCCUACGGGAGGCAGCAGUAGGGAAUCUUCCGCAAUGGGCGAAAGCCUGACGGAGCAACGCCGCGUGAGUGAUGAAGGUCUUCGGAUCGUAAAACUCUGUUAUUAGGGAAGAACAAAUGUGUAAGUAACUAUGCACGUCUUGACGGUACCUAAUCAGAAAGCCACGGCUAACUACGUG